GACGAACGCUGGCGGCGUGCUUAACACAUGCCAGUCGAACGGAAAGGCCCUGCUUGCAGGGUACUCGAGUGGCGAACGGGUGAGUAACACGUGGGUGAUCUGCCCUGCACUUCGGGAUAAGCCUGGGAAACUGGGUCUAAUACCGGAUAGGAGCCAUUUUUAGUGUGAUGGUUGGAAAGUUUUUUCGGUGUAGGAUGAGCUCGCGGCCUAUCAGCUUGUUGGUGGGGUAAUGGCCUACCAAGGCGGCGACGGGUAGCCGGCCUGAGAGGGUGGACGGCCACAUUGGGACUGAGAGACGGCCCAGACUCCUACGGGAGGCAGCAGUGGGGAAUAUUGCACAAUGGGCGCAAGCCUGAUGCAGCGACGCCGCGGGGGGGAUGACGGCCUUCGGGUUGUAAACUCCGUUCGCUAGGGACGAAGCUUUUUGUGACGGUACCUAGAUAAGAAGCACCGGCUAACUACGUG
Molecule: ribosomal RNA, 465 nt
Filed under: uncultured bacterium
Lineage: Bacteria
Description: partial 16S ribosomal RNA
Rfam family: Bacterial small subunit ribosomal RNA
Source: RNAcentral